Molecule: long non-coding RNA, 361 nt
Filed under: Nicotiana benthamiana
Lineage: Eukaryota; Viridiplantae; Streptophyta; Magnoliopsida; Solanales; Solanaceae
Description: long non-coding RNA (NBEN_LNC038725)
Source: RNAcentral
GUAGUAACUUUCAAUAAUAUUUUGGCUAAUGUUUUAAAUCUUCUUCUGUUGGUGUUGUUGUGUAUAGGCUCCUCCUCCUAAGAAAGUUGUUGCAGCUUCAGCUAAGAAUGGUGUAGCUGCUAAGAAGGAUGAGUCAAGUGAUGAUUCUAGUUCAGAGGAUGAUAGCAGCUCUGAGGAAGAUGUACCUGCAGCCAAGAAACCUGCUAAUGGCUCUGCUGCAGUUUCUAAGAAAGAUGAGUCUAGUUCAGAAGAUGAUAGCAGCUCUGAGGAAGAUGUACCUGCAGCCAAGAAACCUGCUGCUAAUGGCUCUGCUGCAGUUUCUAAGAAAGAUGAGUCAAGUGAUGAGUCUAGUUCUGAAGAU